RNAcentral lists this non-coding RNA (30 nucleotides) under Rattus norvegicus (Norway rat). The record is from RNAcentral. Lineage: Eukaryota; Metazoa; Chordata; Mammalia; Rodentia; Muridae.
UGAGAUGUACUCAAGCCAUCUUUCCUAUGA